RNAcentral lists this ribosomal RNA (425 nucleotides) under Vibrio cholerae B33. Its description in RNAcentral is "bacterial LSU rRNA". It matches the Rfam family "Bacterial large subunit ribosomal RNA", at positions 2506 to 2925 of the family's 2925-position model. Lineage: Bacteria; Pseudomonadati; Pseudomonadota; Gammaproteobacteria; Vibrionales; Vibrionaceae. The record is from RNAcentral.
CGACGGCGGUGUUUGGCACCUCGAUGUCGGCUCAUCACAUCCUGGGGCUGAAGUCGGUCCCAAGGGUAUGGCUGUUCGCCAUUUAAAGUGGUACGCGAGCUGGGUUUAGAACGUCGUGAGACAGUUCGGUCCCUAUCUGCCGUGGGCGUUGGAAGAUUGAAGGGGGCUGCUCCUAGUACGAGAGGACCGGAGUGGACGAACCUCUGGUGUUCGGGUUGUGUCGCCAGACGCAUUGCCCGGUAGCUAAGUUCGGAAUUGAUAAGCGCUGAAAGCAUCUAAGCGCGAAGCGAGCCCUGAGAUGAGUCUUCCCUGACAGUUUAACUGUCCUAAAGGGUUGUUCGAGACUAGAACGUUGAUAGGCAGGGUGUGUAAGCGUUGUGAGGCGUUGAGCUAACCUGUACUAAUUGCCCGUGAGGCUUAACCAU